RNAcentral lists this long non-coding RNA (756 nucleotides) under Pan troglodytes (chimpanzee). Its description in RNAcentral is "long non-coding RNA NONPTRT002920". The record is from RNAcentral. Lineage: Eukaryota; Metazoa; Chordata; Mammalia; Primates; Hominidae.
UCACUACAACCUCCGCAUCUCGGGUUCACGCCAUUCUUCUGCCUCAGCCUCCUGAGUAGCUGGGACUACAGGCGCGCAUCACCACGCCCGGCUAAUUUUUGUAUUUUUAGUAGAGACGGGGUUUCACCAUGUUGGCCAGGCUGGUCUCAAACUCCUGACCUCGUGAGCCACCCGCCUCGGCCUCCCAAAGUGCUGGGAUUACAGGCGUCAGCCACCGCGCCCGCUCAAUAUUUUAUCUCUUAACGCCUCCUUCUCCCCUGCGCGAUUGAAGGAGACAGUGCCAGGAGGCUCACUGCUUCUGGCCCAGAGUGACGGCUCGAAAGGAAGGGUCUCUGCAGGCCCAGAGAGGAGGUCCCGGCAGGCUUCCCGGAGGAGGCCGUUUGGACUUGUUUGGGAAGGACACUGCAAUUGUUCCGGCUUGUAGCAGGGGACUGGGGAACAGCCCCUAUGACCUCGCAGCUCCACGGCUCCAUUGGCCAGAUUUCCAGGACCAGGACUGAAGCCUCACUACCCCGGCUUUGCUGCUCAUAGCGAGGUCUCCCUGCCCGGUGCUCCUGCGAGCCAUGGCGGUCCCAUUCCCCAACCCUCUUUCCAGUGGUGACCCAGGCGUCCGGGGUUCAGGGUGACCACAAGGUCUCCCCCACUCUGCAGCCCAGGCCCAGAUGGCCUGGCUCUAGAGCUCCCCACUCCAUCCAGAGUCCCUGUUUCCCCAAAGAGAAGGGCCCACCCCGGCUCCCGCUCACUCCUCCUCCUGCC